This 473-nucleotide ribosomal RNA is filed under the name uncultured organism. Its description in RNAcentral is "partial 16S ribosomal RNA". It matches the Rfam family "Bacterial small subunit ribosomal RNA", at positions 332 to 797 of the family's 1533-position model. The record is from RNAcentral.
UACACUCCUACGGGAGGCAGCAGUAGGGAAUCUUCCACAAUGGGUGCAAACCUGAUGGAGCAAUGCCGCGUGAGUGAAGAAGGUCUUCGGAUCGUAAAGCUCUGUUGUUAGAGAAGAACACGUGCUAGGUAACUACUAGCGCCUUGACGGUAUCUAACCAGAAAGUCACGGCUAACUACGUGCCAGCAGCCGCGGUAAUACGUAGGUGACAAGCGUUGUCCGGAUUUAUUGGGCGUAAAGGGAGCGCAGGCGGUCUGUUUAGUCUAAUGUGAAAGCCCACGGCUUAACCGUGGAACGGCAUUGGAAACUGACAGACUUGAAUGUAGAAGAGGAAAAUGGAAUUCCAAGUGUAGCGGUGGAAUGCGUAGAUAUUUGGAGGAACACCAGUGGCGAAGGCGAUUUUCUGGUCUAACAUUGACGCUGAGGCUCGAAAGCGUGGGGAGCGAACAGGAUUAGAUACCCUUGUAGUCCCA